Molecule: ribosomal RNA, 490 nt
Filed under: uncultured bacterium
Lineage: Bacteria
Description: partial 16S ribosomal RNA
Rfam family: Bacterial small subunit ribosomal RNA
Source: RNAcentral
AUUGAACGCUGGCGGCAGGCCUAACACAUGCAAGUCGAACGGUAACAGGAAGAAGCUUGCUUCUUUGCUGACGAGUGGCGGACGGGUGAGUAAUGUCUGGGAAACUGCCUGAUGGAGGGGGAUAACUACUGGAAACGGUAGCUAAUACCGCAUAACGUCGCAAGACCAAAGAGGGGGACCUUCGGGCCUCUUGCAAUCGGAUGUGCCCAGAUGGGAUUAGCUAGUAGGUGGGGUAACGGCUCACCUAGGCGACGAUCCCUAGCUGGUCUGAGAGGAUGACCAGCCACACUGGAACUGAGACACGGUCCAGGCUCCUACGGGAGGCAGCAGUGGGGAAUAUUGCACAAUGGGCGCAAGCCUGAUGCAGCCAUGCCGCGUGUAUGAAGAAGGCCUUCGGGUUGUAAAGUACUUUCAGCGGGGAGGAAGGGAGUAAAGUUAAUACCUUUACUCAUUGACGUUACCCGCAGAAGAAGCACCGGCUAACUCCGUG